CCUACGGGGGGCAGCAGUGGGGAAUAUUGCACAAUGGGGGAAACCCUGAUGCAGCGACGCCGCGGGAGUGAAGAAGUAUUUCGGUACGUAAAGCUCUAUCAGCAGGGAAGAAAAUGACGGUACCUGACUAAGAAGCCCCGGCUAACUACGUGCAAGCAGCCGCGGUAAUACGUAGGGGGCAAGCGUUAUCCGGAUUUCCUGGGUGUAAAGGGAGCGUAGACGGCAGCGCAAGUCUGGAGUGAAAUCCCAUGGCUUAACCAUGGAACUGCUUUGGAAACUGUGCAGCUAGAGUGCAGGAGAGGUAAGCGGAAUUCCUAGUGUAGCGGUGAAAUGCGUAGAUAUUAGGAGGAACACCAGUGGCGAAGGCGGCUUACUGGACUGUAACUGACGUUGAGGCUCGAAAGCGUGGGGAGCAAACAGGAUUAGAUACCCCUGUAGUC
RNAcentral lists this ribosomal RNA (440 nucleotides) under uncultured bacterium. RNAcentral's name for it is "partial 16S ribosomal RNA". It matches the Rfam family "Bacterial small subunit ribosomal RNA", at positions 338 to 795 of the family's 1533-position model. The record is from RNAcentral.